This 484-nucleotide ribosomal RNA is filed under the name uncultured bacterium. Its description in RNAcentral is "partial 16S ribosomal RNA". It matches the Rfam family "Bacterial small subunit ribosomal RNA", at positions 29 to 507 of the family's 1533-position model. The record is from RNAcentral.
AUUGAACGCUGGCGGCAGGCUUAACACAUGCAAGUCAGCCGGUGAAGGGAGGUUGCCCCUGGGUUCAGGCGCGGACCGGGUAGGAACGUCCAGGAAUCCGGCUGGGAACGGGGGGAAACGGUCGGUAACGGGCCGUAAUAUCCGCAACGGACCGAGGGAUCAAGGGGGGGAUGCUCGGGCCCCCGGCUAUCAGGUUGGUCCUAGGUCGGAUUACCAGGUGGGUGGGGAAAAGGCUAUCCAAGGGGAGGAUCCGUAACUGGUCUGAGAGGAUGAUCAGUAACACUGGAACUGAGACACGGUCCAGACUCCUACGGGAGGCAGCAGUGGGGAAUAUUGGACAAUGGGCGAAAGCCUGAUCCAGCCAUGCCGCGUGUGUGAAGAAGGUCUUCGGAUUGUAAAGCACUUUAAGUUGGGAGGAAGGGCAGUAAGUUAAUACCUUGCUGUUUUGACGUUACCAACAGAAUAAGCACCGGCUAACUUCGUG